CCAUCCCUACGGGAGGCAGCAGUAGGGAAUCUUCCACAAUGGACGAAAGUCUGAUGGAGCAACGCCGCGUGAGUGUAGAAGGGUUUCGGCUCGUAAAGCUCUGUUGGUAGGGAAGAAAGAUAGAGGUAGUAACUUGCCUUUAUUUGACGGUAAUUACUUAGAAAGUCACGGCUAACUACGUGCCAGCAGCCGCGGUAAUACGUAGGUGGCAAGCGUUGUCCGGAUUUAUUGGGGGUAAAACGA
This 243-nucleotide ribosomal RNA is filed under the name uncultured bacterium. RNAcentral's name for it is "partial 16S ribosomal RNA". It matches the Rfam family "Bacterial small subunit ribosomal RNA", at positions 333 to 568 of the family's 1533-position model. The record is from RNAcentral.